GUCAGACUAUGUGUGUGUGUGUCUCUAACCUGUGUCCUGUUUCUCAAAAGACAGACAUACUAAAUCUUUCUCUCCCCGGCAACUGCUUAAACAGGGUUUCCUAUUCUCCUACUUGCUCCUUCAGUUUCAGUUCAUAUUACAAACAUUUAAUAUUUUGUUUAAUAUAUCUACAUUGGUUACAACAGCUUAUAACAGUUCACUAACUUAUACAAUCACUACAUCUACAGUAGCCUCAUUUAUACGCUUACUCCAGGUAGCGCAAGUUUUCUUUUAGGUAUACCAGGCAAACUAGCUAAUGCAGCUAGCUAACGCGGUACUGUACGACUACGUAAACAAACAUCAGCUUAGUUCUUUAAGCCGACAUAAUUUCUGGUGCACCGUCAUCAUUUCUGGACAAGGAAUCUCAGCAGGUUUAGGAGAGAAGGCUGUGGCGAACCAUCGUCUUAAAACAUGCACCAACCCACGACAAACUGCAACUACCUCUAACUACAAAUUGUAUUUGUUCAUUAUAUUUAAAACCUGCUUGAUUCAUGUAAAUGAUCAAUUACAUUAACAAAUACACUGGUUUAUUGGAUAUUUAUACCACAGAAUUGGUGAAUACUUUUUCCUGAUUGACUAGAAGUGAGUUCUAGAAUGGACAUAAAUUACUGAUAUACAGGACAGUUGGAUGGACAUUAAUUUCAGAUAUAAAAGACAUCUAAUCAUGAUGUAAAAAACCUCUAAUUAUGUCUUGUGUGUUGUUAUCAUUUAUAAUUCUAGUGGUUUUGUGGCAUUCAUGUCAUGCUUAUGUGUCCUGCAUAUCUCAGCCAGCAUGGCAAUGGGUCCAACAGCAGAGGAAGGUGAAGAUAGAAUCGAAGACCACUCAUUGACUCAUUUCUGACAACAAGGAAGAGUAAAUCAUCUGUCUUUGCUUGUGUUAUUGUAUUUUGUCAGUUGGAUAAUAUUUAUUGUUUGUUUCAAUUUAUAGUACAUUUUGUUUCUCUUCAUGAUUUCACAAUUCUUCACCAUUUGAGAAGAAAAUAACCCAGUGAACAGUAAAGCAUACAUAUUGGCUUGCGUUCUUAUAUUUUAAUUAUUAAAAAAAUGUCCAGUUUGAUAAUAUUUCUAAAUUUGAUCAGUUGAUAGCUGGAACAAAUAUUUCAAUGACUGGAGACGGAUAGAACUCUAUAAGUAGUAAAAUAACGGGUUAUCAUGGUUAUUGCCAUUGAAGACCUACAAUGUACACUUUAGUAACUAGAUGGGAUUUUCUACUUUAUCCUUUCUGAUGGUAAUGAAGUCCCACGCAAUUCUGAUUUUAAUUUCUGUGCUGUUGACCAACUUGGGAUUGUGAGGUGGGU
This is a long non-coding RNA of Esox lucius (northern pike), 1337 nucleotides long. The record is from Ensembl. Lineage: Eukaryota; Metazoa; Chordata; Actinopteri; Esociformes; Esocidae.